RNAcentral lists this ribosomal RNA (464 nucleotides) under uncultured bacterium. Its description in RNAcentral is "partial 16S ribosomal RNA". It matches the Rfam family "Bacterial small subunit ribosomal RNA", at positions 339 to 795 of the family's 1533-position model. The record is from RNAcentral.
CUACGGGGUGCUCCAGUGGGGAAUAUUGCACAAUGGGCGCAAGCCUGAUGCAGCCAUGCCGCGUGUAUGAAGAAGGCCUUCGGGUUGUAAAGUACUUUCAGCGGGGAGGAAGGGAGUAAAGUUAAUACCUUUGCUCAUUGACGUUACCCGCAGAAGAAGCACCGGCUAACUCCGUGCCAGCAACCGCGGUAAUACGGAGGGUGCAAGCGUUAAUCGGAAUUACUGGGCGUAAAGCGCACGCAGGCGGUUUGUUAAGUCAGAUGUGAAAUCCCCGGGCUCAACCUGGGAACGGCAUCUGAUACUGGCAAGCUUGAGUCUCGUAGAGGGGGGUAGAAUUCCAGGUGUAGCGGUGAAAUGCGUAGAGAUCUGGAGGAAUACCGGUGGCGAAGGCGGCCCCCUGGACGAAGACUGACGCUCAGGUGCGAAAGCGUGGGGAGCAAACAGGAUUAGAUACCCGAGUAGUC